AAAUUGAAGAGUUUGAUCAUGGCUCAGAUUGAACGCUGGCGGCAGGCCUAACACAUGCAAGUCGAACGGUAACAGGAAGCAGCUUGCUGUUUCGCUGACGAGUGGCGGACGGGUGAGUAAUGUCUGGGAAACUGCCUGAUGGAGGGGGAUAACUACUGGAAACGGUAGCUAAUACCGCAUAACGUCGCAAGACCAAAGAGGGGGACCUUCGGGCCUCUUGCCAUCGGAUGUGCCCAGAUGGGAUUAGCUAGUAGGUGGGGUAACGGCUCACCUAGGCGACGAUCCCUAGCUGGUCUGAGAGGAUGACCAGCCACACUGGAACUGAGACACGGUCCAGACUCCUACGGGAGGCAGCAGUGGGGAAU
RNAcentral lists this ribosomal RNA (365 nucleotides) under Shigella flexneri. RNAcentral describes it as "bacterial SSU rRNA". It matches the Rfam family "Bacterial small subunit ribosomal RNA", at positions 1 to 362 of the family's 1533-position model. Lineage: Bacteria; Pseudomonadati; Pseudomonadota; Gammaproteobacteria; Enterobacterales; Enterobacteriaceae. The record is from RNAcentral.